UUCUGGACAAUACUGACGCUGAGAUGCGAAGCGUGGGGAGCAAACAGGAUUAGAUACCUGGUAGUCCACGCUGUAAACGAUGUCGAUUUGGAGUUUGGGGGCAUGACCCUUGGGCUCCGGAGCUAACGCGUUAAAUCGACCGCUGGGGAGUACGGCCGCAAGGUUAAAACUCAAAUGAAUUGACGGGGGCCCGCACAAGCGGUGGAGCAUGUGGUUUAAUUCGAUGCAACGCGAAGAACCUUACCUGGUCUUGACAUCCAUAGAAUCUUUCAGAGAUGAGAGAGUGCCUUCGGGAGCUAUGAGACAGGUGCUGCAUGGCUGUCGUCAGCUCGUGUUGUGAAAUGUUGGGUUAAGUCCCGCAACGAGCGCAACCCCUAUCCUUUGUUGCCAGCACGUAAUGGUGGGAACUCAAAGGAGACUGCCGUUGAUAAAGCGGAGGAAGGUGGGGACGACGUCAAGUCAUCAUGGCCCUUACGACCAGGGCUACACACGUGCUACAAUGGCGUAUACAAAGGGAUGCGAAGGUGCGAACUGGAGCGGACCUCACAAAGUACGUCUAAGUCCGGAUUGGAGUCUGCAACUCGACUCCAUGAAGUCGGAAUCGCUAGUAAUCGUGAAUCAGAAUGUCACGGUGAAUACGUUCCCGGGCCUUGUACACACCGCCCGUCACACCAUGGGAGUGGGUUGCACCAGAAGUAGAUAGCUUAACCUUCGGGAGGGCGUUUACCACGGUGUGGUUCAUGACUGGGGUGAAGUCGUAACAAGGUAACCA
This 772-nucleotide ribosomal RNA is filed under the name uncultured Enterobacteriaceae bacterium. RNAcentral describes it as "bacterial SSU rRNA". It matches the Rfam family "Bacterial small subunit ribosomal RNA", at positions 727 to 1502 of the family's 1533-position model. Lineage: Bacteria; Pseudomonadati; Pseudomonadota; Gammaproteobacteria; Enterobacterales; Enterobacteriaceae. The record is from RNAcentral.